GCCCUCGGUGGAACAGCUGCGUAACGGUUCACUCACUGAUGGCGCCUGGAGGUUUGGCGAAAUACUGACAGGAUGCGACGUCAACGGGAGCGCAGGGCCAAGAUACCCUUUAUAUCAAACCGUCUAUCCUGGAGCAGAAAAAUCCUGUCUUCAUUGCUAUAGCUACAGAUUCAGAAAUGAGCAUGUAACAAAUUCAGGCCAAAGAGAGGCAAUGGAAAUCAGAGAAACACUGUUCCUGAAAGCUUCUGUCACUCAAGAAUCCAUGAAACAUUCAUGAACUUCACAUCAGAAGCCAAGCCCAGAAAAUAUGGGUUUAAGGUUUGCCUAUAUGUCCAAUACAAGAGAAAAAAGAACAUUCCACUUCUUUAGAAGGUUCUACUUUGAUCUCCUGAUUCCAGUUGUGAAAAAAAAUUGUGCCUAAAGAAUAUAGUCCCUUUAUAGAAUUGUUUUGAAACCUACUACAGGUAUUUCUACACAGGUGCUAUUGUGGAGGUGCAUACCCAACAGUUUGAUAAUGUAGAGGAAGUGAUAGCUUUGUCUGGUGGAAUCUGGGUCGACCUCACAGAGGAGCUGUUAUUUGUUCUGGAUAUUGAACAGUGACAAGGAUUCAGUGGGAGAGAAAGAGGCGAGGAUUUUAAUGCAACUUGUUACACAAGAUGAUCCCAAACAUAUUUGACUUUUAUUUUCAGAAAAGCUUAAUACAUAGUUUUGAAUAUGGAUUGUCCCACAGGAUAAAUGCAUGAAAAAAGUUGGAAAAGAGAAAUUGAGUUACAUCCUAAUGGUAGUGUUUUCUCAGGCAGAUCAAUUUUAGAAAGACAACAUUGACUUGGAAAACUGAAGAGUAAUUAUUCUAAAAUGGUUUUAACAGUUUACUCCUUUUAUGUUUGCAAACUUCCAGGAUUAGUGAGUUGCAUAAAGUCACAUAAUUUAUUGCGUUGGUGCAAAAGUAACUGUGGUUUUUGCCAUUAACAAAACCACAAUUACUUUUGCAUCAGCCUAAUAUAAAUGAAUAAAUUAAUAUUAGAACACAGGUCUAAUUAAAAGGUUCUGCUGUGUUGUGUCCUGUGAUAACACAGAAAACAAUCAAAUGGAUAAUUACAGAAAAAUUUUGGAUAUAAAAUUAGCAGGUAAUUUUCUCCCUCCUUUCCUUCCAUCUUUCCAUCCUUCUUUGCUUCCUUUGCUUUCUUCUUUUCCUUUGUUUUUUGUUUCUCUCUCUCUCUUUUUUUUUUUUGCAAUUUGGAGAAGGAAGUACUUUAAAAGAAAAGUUAAAAGGCAGACAUAGAUAGCAUGAAGCCUAAUUGCAAGAUCUUUUUCAAACAUGUUAGUUUUAGGAAAUAGCACCUGAAUUUAAGUCCCUUAAAAUUGUCUAUGUCUUCACGUCCAAGUCUCUAUAUUUGCAGGGCUGUGUACAAUCUAGACUGAACGUGCUUGACCUAAAAACAGAAGUAAUACCUGGGACAAAGCACGAUGUCCACCACAGUCUUCUCUCUUUAGUGUGUUAAGAUAGAGUUGAUUCCCAGAGUAGCCUGCCAUCACUAACUCUGAGGGAUGAUGGGCUAAUUUUGAUAGAAGGAGCAGAGGUGGUAGUUAGGAGGAAGAUGACUCAUCAUCAUUGUAUCAGCAGGCAUUGAUGACUGGAAAUAUCAGGGGGCACAGCCUGAAAGAGAAUGGCUUAAUUGGAAUCGAUAGUGGGAUCUUGGAAAUCAAUACAUAUGCACUGAACAGAAAAUGGUAUGCUAUAAUCUACUAUACACUGUAUGUGAAACCCAAGCUCCAAAUUUUUCAGCCCAUGCAAUGUCCAGUGAAAUUUCUCUUAGUUACAUUAUAAUUGCAAUGUACAUGUAUUUGAGGGGAAAAAAAGUGAAAGAAAAAGUAACUAAAGUGGAAAUGCCAAACUUUGUUUUUAUUAAUGUUAAAAUUUAUUUUGAUCAACUUGCUAUUCUUAAAAUUGACCAAUCUUCUUCCCUUCCUUGCCUCUUCCAUGGUUUAUAGGAUUAUUUUUCAGGGCUGAUCAGUUGGUGUUACCUGUGACUACUAUGCUUAAUGCUAUCUGGCUUCUAACUUUAAGCACUGAAAAAAAGUCCUUCAUAUUUCUCAGUGUGUGAUUGAACUGAGAUGACCAUCCUAAGCCUCCUCAUUACAUAAAUCCUUACCUUCUCCAGAAGCAACAAAUGGAGAUGAGAAUAGCAUAUGUUACUUCUCAGCCAUAUUCCAUAGCCUUUUCUCCAAGAUAUUUUUCCAAAGUUGCCCCUUUUCUGAAUCCCUUGCAAGCAAACAAACAACAAAACAAUGGGUAAUAAAAUAAUUGUUUAACUUUCAUUGAUAUGCUCUGAGAUUGAUGUGAUUUUCAUAAAUAACUAUAUUAAAAGACAAAUGGGAGCGGUGAUUUUGUGAAGAGCCCAUGCCUCUGCCCAUGGAAUAUGUGGCUUGGCCUGGAGCUCUUAUUUUACUUAUAUAUUUCUAAGCAGAAUUAUUCAAGAAUGUCUCUUAUUACAGGUCUUGAAACUUGGACAGCCAACAGAAAGGAAGCUAAUAAAUAAAUUUGUCAGAACAUGAUUCUCAGUUUCGCUUAUUUUGAAUUAAAGGUAACCUGGAAAAUGGAUUAGGAAAACAGCCUAUAAUCAGAGGAGUGACCCCAGUGAGACCCUGUCAUUAAAACUUUAGUGUUGAGCCUGCAAACCUCUGUUCCUCUGAUUAGGCAAUUUACUCCAUUUCCACCUUUCUGUCUGCCAAAACAUUUAGUGGCAAAACAUUUCCUAAUUCUCUAGACUCAUAAAAUGUUGUUUUGAAAAAAAGUAAAACAGAAUGGAUUACCUUUUUAAGCUAUCUAUCAUAAUGUAAUCAGAAAACAUGAGGGAUUAAUAGAUAAUAUUGUAAAGAGGCAAAGGCAGCAGAUGUUAUUUAGAUGAGCAGAAGGUCACAGACCUCUGUUGAGGAUUGAAAGCUUGAGGUACGUGCCUUUGUUCCUCAGUGUGUGUGGAUCAGAGUGAUUACUGAUAUCAGUUAGCAACAUGGUGGAGGGGACAAACUGGGGCUGCAUUUUCACUAUGUUUAUUAUUGCUCAAGGUCAAAAAGUGACUGUGUAGUGCCUCAGUGUUUACAUCUUUGUGUUAUCAAUAUUUUUUCUAUUACCUUACAAGUUUAUUUUGAUGCUGUAAUGAUGAGACAGUGUUUUGAAAAGUACUAAAUAAAGAGUAUUCUCUAACUUUUAAA
This 3213-nucleotide non-coding RNA is filed under the name Pan troglodytes (chimpanzee). Lineage: Eukaryota; Metazoa; Chordata; Mammalia; Primates; Hominidae. The record is from RNAcentral.